RNAcentral lists this ribosomal RNA (345 nucleotides) under Triticum aestivum (bread wheat). Its description in RNAcentral is "partial small subunit ribosomal RNA". The record is from RNAcentral. Lineage: Eukaryota; Viridiplantae; Streptophyta; Magnoliopsida; Poales; Poaceae.
AUGUGCAAAGCAAAAGACAAUAUCCUGCCCUGUUUCACAAAGCAUCGGCAAGUUGCGAGAGAAUCUACGCUGACGCCCUCACAAGGUAGCGAUUGCACAAAACUCACCAACCAUGGAACAAAUGAAAAAAAAAAUCAUCAGAAUGCAGGAAAAAGAAAAACUUCAGCAGCAAAAGUCAACAAGUUUCCUGCCCCGUUCCACAAGCAUUGGCAAAUUGUGGGAGAAUCUAAGCUGACGCUCUCUCAGGAAAUCAUUGGCAGAAAACUUAACAACCUUGGCUUAAAACAAAUGAACAAUCAUCAGGAUGCAAGUCAAACGGAAAAUGGCUCCUCAAAAACGUCAUGA